Long non-coding RNA from Xenopus tropicalis (tropical clawed frog), 328 nucleotides. RefSeq lists it as uncharacterized. Lineage: Eukaryota; Metazoa; Chordata; Amphibia; Anura; Pipidae. The transcript has 7 exons. The record is from RefSeq and is a predicted model, not a curated record.
GAGUUGGACAUGGACAUGGAGGUGGAGUUGGACAUGGAGGUGGAGGAAAGCCCAAUGACCCUUUUUCAGAAAUAUUACGGGAUUUAAAUAAAGAUGUGGAAAAUAUCAUUGCAAAAAGCCAGGAACAAGCACAACCAAUAAAUGACCCUAAUAUACAGAAAUUACGGGAUUUAAAUAAACAGCUGGAAAAUAUCGCUGCAAAAAGCUGGGAACAAAUACAAUCUGAUAUAAACAAACCAGCACAACCAACAAAUCCGUCAGGAUCAAAUUCCCUAUCCUCUGGACCACAAGGAGGAUCGAGUUACAGUUAUGGAGCGGGAAUGGGGUA